RNAcentral lists this ribosomal RNA (424 nucleotides) under uncultured Succinivibrio sp. RNAcentral describes it as "bacterial SSU rRNA". It matches the Rfam family "Bacterial small subunit ribosomal RNA", at positions 355 to 794 of the family's 1533-position model. The record is from RNAcentral. Lineage: Bacteria; Pseudomonadati; Pseudomonadota; Gammaproteobacteria; Aeromonadales; Succinivibrionaceae.
UAGGGAAUAUUGCACAAUGGAGGAAACUCUGAUGCAGCCAUGCCGCGUGUGUGAAGAAGGCCUUCGGGUUGUAAAGCACUUUCGGAGGGGAGGAACAAAUGACGUUACCCUCAGAAGAAGCACCGGCUAACUCCGUGCCAGCAGCCGCGGUAAUACGGAGGGUGCAAGCGUUAAUCGGAAUAACUGGGCGUAAAGGGCAUGCAGGCGGUUUAUCAAGUAGGAUGUGAAAGCCCCGGGCUCAACCUGGGAAUUGCAUUCUAAACUGAUAGACUAGAGUAUUGCAGGGGGAGACGGAAUUCCAGGUGUAGCGGUGGAAUGCGUAGAUAUCUGGAAGAACACCAAAGGCGAAGGCAGUCUCCUGGGCAAAUACUGACGCUCAUAUGCGAAAGCGUGGGUAGCAAACAGGAUUAGAUACCCUGGUAGU